AAAUUAAUAAGAAAAAACUAAUAAAAAAAAAUUUAUUAUUAAAAAUAUCUAAUGGGGGUUAAAGUAUUUUUAAUAGAAAAAAUUUAUAGAUUUAUAGUUAAAUAGUAUUGUAAAAGAAAUUUUAAAUAAUUGAAAUAUAAAAUUUAAAUAAAAGUAAAUUUAAUUUAUUGUAUCUUGUGUAUCAGAGUUUAUUAAAUAAAAAUUUUUACAUAAAAAAUUCUCGAAUUUAAAAGAGUUAAUUAAUUAAAAAAGUUAAUGUUGAAUAAUUAUUUUAAAUAAUUAAUUAGAAAUGAAAUGUUAAUCGUUUUUAAAUAUAUCUAGUUUUUUCAGAAAAAAAUUUAAUUUUAAAUUAAAAUAAUUUUAUAAUUAAUUAAUUAAUUAUAAAAAUUUAAAAUUUAAUAUUUUAGGGGAUAAGCUUUAAAUUAAAAAAUUAUAAUAAUUAAUUUAUAAUUAAAAUUUUUAAUAUUUAUAUUGUUUAAAAAUUAUAAUUUGUUAUAAAAAAUUUUAAUUAAAUUAAAAUUUAAAAAUAAAAUUUAAUUUUUUAUGAGAAAAAUUAUUUUUAAUAGUUAAAAAUUAGAAAUAAUGAUAAAAUUAGUAUAAGAUAAAAAAAAAAAUAAAUUUAAUUAAAAUUAAAUUAAAGGAAUUCGGCAAAAAUUUAUAUUCACUUGUUUAUCAAAAACAUGUCUUUUUGGGUAAUAAUUUAAAGUCUAAUCUGCCCACUGAUAUAAAUUAAAGGGCUGCAGUAUAUUGACUGUACAAAGGUAGCAUAAUCAUUAGUCUUUUAAUUGAAGACUUGUAUGAAAGAUUUGAUGAAAUAUAAACUGUCUCUAUUUUAUUAAUAAAAAUUAAUAUUUUAGUUAAAAAGCUAAAAUGAAAUUAAAAGACGAGAAGACCCUAUAGAGUUUAAUAUUUAUUUUUAUUACAUUAAAAUAUAUAAUUAAUUAAUGAAUUAAAAAAAAAUAUUUUGUUGGGGUGAUGAAAAAAUUUAAUGAACUUUUUUUUUUAUAAAACAUAGAUAAAUGAUUAAAUGAUCCAUAAUUUUAUGAUUAUAAGAAAAAAUUACCUUAGGGAUAACAGCGUAAUAUUUUUUUUUAGUACAAAUAAAAAAGAAAGUUUGCGACCUCGAUGUUGGAUUAAGAUAAAAAUUAAAUGCAAAAGUUUAAAUUUUUGAUCUGUUCGAUCAUUAAAAUCUUACAUGAUCUGAGUUCAAACCGGUGUAAGCCAGGUUGGUUUCUAUCUUUAAUAAAAUAUAAUAUUUUAGUACGAAAGGAUCAAAUAUUGAAAAUAAUUUUAAUUAAUUUGAAUAUUAUUAAUAUUAAUAUA
This 1323-nucleotide ribosomal RNA is filed under the name Sasakia charonda. Its description in RNAcentral is "large subunit ribosomal RNA". The record is from RNAcentral. Lineage: Eukaryota; Metazoa; Arthropoda; Insecta; Lepidoptera; Nymphalidae.